UUUAUCAAAAACAUGUCUUUUUGAAUUAAAUUUAAAGUCUAACCUGCCCACUGAUAUAUAUUAAAGGGCCGCAGUAUUUUGACUGUGCGAAGGUAGCAUAAUCACUAGUCUUUUAAUUGGAGGCUUGUAUGAAUGGUUGAAUGAGAUAUAUACUGUCUUUUUUAAAAUUAUAUAGAAUUUUAUUUUUUAAUUAAAAAGUUAAAAUAAAAUUAAAGGACGAGAAGACCCUAUAGAUCUUUAUUUUUUUUAUUUAUAAAUUAAAAAGAAUUUUAAAAUUUAUAAUUUAAUAAAAAAUUUUAUUGGGGUGAUAUUAAAAUUUAAAAAACUUUUAAAAUUUUUUAACAUUAAUAUAUGAAUAAAUGAUCCAGUUUUAUUGAUUAAAAAUUUAAGUUACCUUAGGGAUAACAGCGUAAUUUUUUUUUAGAGUUCAUAUCGACAAAAAAGAUUGCGACCUCGAUGUUGGAUUAAGAGUUAUUUUUAGGUGUAGAAGUUUAAAGUU
Molecule: ribosomal RNA, 499 nt
Filed under: Culex modestus
Lineage: Eukaryota; Metazoa; Arthropoda; Insecta; Diptera; Culicidae
Description: partial 16S ribosomal RNA
Rfam family: Archaeal large subunit ribosomal RNA (bases 1-157)
Source: RNAcentral